This 406-nucleotide long non-coding RNA is filed under the name Mytilus galloprovincialis (Mediterranean mussel). The record is from RNAcentral. Lineage: Eukaryota; Metazoa; Mollusca; Bivalvia; Mytilida; Mytilidae.
UCGAGGCUAACCACUCUUAAAUGCUAUAUGUUUGGUGGAAAAGCGGCAAAUACCAAUUUUAUAAUCUUUGGUUUGAACUAACCUGCCAUACAAUUAUUUAGUCAAUAUGAGUCAUUAAAAACAAGAUGAAAAGAGCAUUUAUUUAUUUUCAGUAUCUGGAAUGGAAUUUGAAAUGUCCUCAUCCUGCCUCUUGUUUUUUUCGUUCCUCCCUCCACCUUCACGUCUUUCAGGGGCAUAUUUAAGGAACCUGGACAUUUCACUCUUCAUCAUGGUUUCGGUUGCGUCAACCAACCCAGGAAAGGACUCUGAGACACAUUCUGUUUGUAAAAAAAAACAGUAACAAUUAAAUCACAGAAGUAAAUAAACAGCUGCGCCACGAGCGCAUGAUACGCCCGUCGUCUAACUC